Molecule: unclassified non-coding RNA, 213 nt
Filed under: plant metagenome
Description: partial contains small subunit ribosomal RNA, internal transcribed spacer 1, and 5.8S ribosomal RNA
Source: RNAcentral
UUUCCGUAGGUGAACCUGCGGAAGGAUCAUUCAUAAUAAGUGUUUUAUGGCACUUUUUUAAAUCCAUAUUCACCUUGUGUGCAAUGUCAGGGUUGAUUUUUCUCUCGAGAGGAUCAACCCCAAACAUCAACUAUAUCUCAACCCUUUGUCUGAAAAAUAUUAUGAAUAAAACAAUUCAAAAUACAACUUUCAACAACGGAUCUCUUGGCUCUC